CUUAGAGUUUGAUCCUGGCUCAGGAUGAACGCUUGUGGUAUGCUUAACACAUGCAAGUCGAACGGUGUCUUCGGACAUAGUGGCGGACGGGUGAGUAACGCGUGAGAAUCUAGCUUCAGGUCUGGGACAACCACUGGAAACGGUGGCUAAUACCGGAUGUGCCGGAAGGUGAAAGGCUUGCUGCCUGAAGAUGAGCUCGCGUCCGAUUAGCUAGUAGGUGGGGAAAGAGCCUACCUAGGCGACGAUCGGUAGCUGGUCUGAAAGGAUGACCUACCACACUGGGACUGAGACACGGCCCAGACUCCUACGGGAGGCAGCAGUGGGGAAUUUUCCGCAAUGGGCGAAAGCCUGACGGAGCAAUACCGCGUGAGGGAGGAAGGCUCUUGGGUUGUAAACCUCUUUUCUCAGGGAAGAACACAAUGACGGUACCUGAGGAAUCAGCAUCGGCUAACUCCGUGCCAGCAGCCGCGGUAAUACGGAGGAUGCAAGCGUUAUCCGGAAUGAUUGGGCGUAAAGCGUCCGCAGGUGGCUGUGUAAGUCUGCUGUCAAAGAGCAAGGCUCAACUUUGUAAAGGCAGUGGAAACUACACGGCUAGAGUGCGUUCGGGGCAGAGGGAAUUCCUGGUGUAGCGGUGAAAUGCGUAGAGAUCAGGAAGAACACCGGUGGCGAAGGCGCUCUGCUAGGCCGCAACUGACACUGAGGGACGAAAGCUAGGGGAGCGAAUAGGAUUAGAUACCCCAGUAGUCCUAGCUGUAAACGAU
RNAcentral lists this ribosomal RNA (761 nucleotides) under uncultured bacterium. RNAcentral's name for it is "bacterial SSU rRNA". It matches the Rfam family "Bacterial small subunit ribosomal RNA", at positions 1 to 810 of the family's 1533-position model. The record is from RNAcentral.